RNAcentral lists this small nuclear RNA (280 nucleotides) under Notechis scutatus (mainland tiger snake). Its description in RNAcentral is "7SK RNA (ENSNSUG00000009448.1)". It matches the Rfam family "7SK RNA". From Rfam's summary of the family: 7SK was discovered as an abundant small nuclear RNA in the mid-70s but a possible function has only recently been suggested. Two independent studies have found that 7SK RNA binds the CDK9/cyclin T complex (known as elongation factor P-TEFb). The record is from Rfam by way of RNAcentral. Lineage: Eukaryota; Metazoa; Chordata; Lepidosauria; Squamata; Elapidae.
GGAUAGGAGAGCGAUCUGGCUGCGACAUCUGUCACCCCAUUGAUUGCCAGGGUUGAUUUGGCUGAUCUGGCUGGCUAGGCGGGUGUCCCCAUCCUCACUGCUCCAUGUGCAUCCCUCCCGAAGCUCCGCGCUCAGUGGAAGAGGACAACCAUCCAACACAGAAGGAGUGUACCGAUCUUCAGUCAAGGGUAUACGAUAGCUGCGCUCCCCUGCUAAGCUCAAGGUUGGACUUUCAAAACAAAAAAUGUAACAAAAUUUCAACAAUGGAACAAUCUGCUUU